Molecule: ribosomal RNA, 121 nt
Filed under: uncultured bacterium
Lineage: Bacteria
Description: partial 16S ribosomal RNA
Rfam family: Bacterial small subunit ribosomal RNA
Source: RNAcentral
UGAAACUGAAGUUCUUGAGGGCAGGAGAGGAAAGUGGAAUUCCUGGUGUAGCGGUGAAAUGCGUAGAAAUCAGGAGGAACACCGGUGGCGAAGGCGACUGCCUGGACUGACCCUGACGCUG